UGAGUCCACCUUCAGUGCUGCUGCCAUCACCCUGGAGACAGUGGAGUGACACAAGGAGGGACGAGCGGCCAGUGUAUUUCUUCUGGAAUUGAGCUUGCAGGUGUGUGUGUGAGAUCCCCACAGAGCAACUGGAUGGCUGUAACCAUUCGAGCAACUCGUCUUUAAGCUAAUAAUUGAAGGAGCUGUGAAUCUAGCCUGCUGGUCUUUCAAGUGAUGCAUAGCACAGAGUCUGAGGGACUAGAGAAACUGGAGCAGCAUUAGAGCCCAGGAGAAAUUGCUGUCUAAGUGAUCCUUUGUGGACUUCCGACCAAAACCAUCAAGUGCAGCAUAUGUCUUUUUUCAAUCAACUUUGAAUGAUGGCAGCUGAGAAACACCCACCAGAGAGGGACCAAGACAGUCAUAGACAGGAUAGGAGACAUGCCAGGGCUGAACUCCACCCAAGUGCCUACAUCCCAAGGAGUUGAUGUUGCAUAAACAGGACAGGCCACCAACUCCCACAGGACCAAGGACCACAGAGGAGCGCUUUGAGGUUUUAUCAUCCUUUUAGGCUUCUACAUACCCAUGAGCACACAGGGUCAAAUCCAACUCCUGCGACCUGCAGUAACUCUAAACUUUUCAAGGCUCAGAGCUUUCCUUAUAGCACAGUCUGUGGUUUCACUGUGGAGAAGCAAACCUGAAAAAAAAACUUGUUGGACUGGAUCAGAAGCAUUUUGGUGAGUGCAGCAGAAGCUGCCAGUGGUGAAAAUAGCACUCCUGGAGCAUGAAUGAACAGAGUGGGGUUUCAUUCUGUGCACGUUAGACAAUUUAAUCCUCACUGGGCAUUAUGGUUGUGCUGGGCAGUUUGCUCUGGAGAUCUGUUUCCAUUGCCACAUAAUAAAUAAAACGCUCUUUAGGAGAUACUCAUGGAUGGAA
Molecule: long non-coding RNA, 912 nt
Organism: Pogoniulus pusillus (Red-fronted tinkerbird)
Lineage: Eukaryota; Metazoa; Chordata; Aves; Piciformes; Lybiidae
Exons: 7
Source: RefSeq, a predicted model, not a curated record